UCAGGAUGAACGCUGGCGGCGUGCCUAAUACAUGCAAGUCGAGCGAACCACUUUGGUGGUGAGCGGCGAACGGGUGAGUAACACGUAGGUGAUCUGCCCAUCAGACGGGGACAACGAUUGGAAACGAUCGCUAAUACCGGAUAGGACGAAAGUUUAAAGGUGCUUCUGGCACCGCUGAUGGAUGAGCCUGCGGCGCAUUAGCUAGUUGGUAGGGUAAAGGCCUACCAAGGCGACGAUGCGUAGCCGACCUGAGAGGGUGAACGGCCACACUGGGACUGAGACACGGCCCAGACUCCUACGGGAGGCAGCAGUAGGGAAUCUUCGGCAAUGGGCGAAAGCCUGACCGAGCAACGCCGCGUGAAUGAUGAAGGCCUUCGGGUUGUAAAAUUCUGUUAUAAGGGAAGAACGACUUUAGUAGGAAAUGGCUAGAGUGUGACGGUACCUUAUGAGAAAGCCACGGCUAACUACGUGCCAGCAGCCGCGGUAAUACGUAGGUGGCGAGCGUUAUCCGGAAUUAUUGGGCGUAAAGAGCGCGCAGGUGGUUGAUUAAGUCUGAUGUGAAAGCCCACGGCUUAACCGUGGAGGGUCAUUGGAAACUGGUCGACUUGAGUGCAGAAGA
This 619-nucleotide ribosomal RNA is filed under the name uncultured bacterium. RNAcentral describes it as "bacterial SSU rRNA". It matches the Rfam family "Bacterial small subunit ribosomal RNA", at positions 24 to 655 of the family's 1533-position model. The record is from RNAcentral.